UUCCGGUUGAUCCCGCCGGACCUGACUGCUAUCGGAUUGAUACUAAGCCAUGCAAGUCUUUGUAGUAAUACAAGGCAUACGGCUCAGUAACACGUAGUCAACUUAACCUAUGGAUGGGUAUAACCUCGGGAAACUGAGAAUAAUUCCCAAUAGAUCAUUUAUCCUGGAAUGGUUGAUGAUUGAAAUGAUUCGUCGCCAUAGGAUGGGACUGCGGCCUAUCAGCUUGUUGGUGAGGUAAAGGCCCACCAAGGCUAUUACAGGUACGGGCUCUGAGAGGAGAAGCCCGGAGAUGGGUACUGAGACACGGACCCAGGCCCUAUGGGGCGCAGCAGGCGAGAAAACUUUGCAAUGUGCGAAAGCACGACAAGGUUAAUCCGAGUGAUUUCUGCUAAAGAAAUCUUUUGCCAGUUCUAAAAAUACUGGUGAAUAAGGGGUGGGCAAGUUCUGGUGUCAGCCGCCGCGGUAAAACCAGCACCUCAAGUUGUCAGGAGGAUUAUUGGGCCUAAAGCAUCCGUAGCCGGCUCUGUUAGUUUUCGGUUAAAUCCAUAUGCUCAACAUAUGGGCUGUCGGAAAUACUGCAGAGCUAGGGAAUGGGAGAGGUAGACGGUACUCGGUAGGAAGGGGUAAAAUCCUUUGAUCUAUCGAUGACCACCUGUGGCGAAGGCGGUCUACCAGAACAUGUUCGACGGUGAGGGAUGAAAGCUGGGGGAGCAAACCGGAUUAGAUACCCGGGUAGUCCCAGCUGUAAACGAUGCAGACUAGAUGAUGCAUUAGCAUAUAGCCAGUGCAGUGUCGCAGGGAAGCCGUUAAGUCUGCCGCCUGGGAAGUACGUACGCAAGUAUGAAACUUAAAGGAAUUGGCGGGGGAGCACCACAAGGGGUGAAGCCUGCGGUUCAAUUGGAGUCAACGCCGG
RNAcentral lists this ribosomal RNA (913 nucleotides) under uncultured marine archaeon. RNAcentral describes it as "bacterial SSU rRNA". It matches the Rfam family "Archaeal small subunit ribosomal RNA", at positions 1 to 921 of the family's 1478-position model. The record is from RNAcentral.